Molecule: unclassified non-coding RNA, 2995 nt
Filed under: Hevea brasiliensis (rubber tree)
Lineage: Eukaryota; Viridiplantae; Streptophyta; Magnoliopsida; Malpighiales; Euphorbiaceae
Source: RNAcentral
GGAACGACUUUUAAACAGGAGCUAAUGCGUUUUCAACCUUAACAAAGCCAACUAAAAGAAUUAUUCUUUGUCCUUUUUUAAGAAAUACAGACACAAUUUCUUGAUACCGCAAACAAUAAUACAAAAAUAGGCAAAUAGCACCUUUGUCAGCAAUCAUAAACUCUCAAUUUAGCAGUGUGUUCCUCCCCCAAGAAAUCUCCAGGAACUGGGAGGUGUUCUAUGAAGUAUUUUUGCUUCUUGUCAUUUUAAUGGCAGCAAGCUGUUUAUUUUCAGUUGCGGUGACAGCUAGAAUCUUACCAGGUCUUCAAAAUUUCAGGCAGUUAACUUCUCUCAAAUUGUUUCCGUAUACUCAUAAGUUCAAGGUUGCAAGUGGAGAGCCUGCAUUUUUGAAGUAAGCUGAGAGAUCUACAUGCAGGUCAUCAUACAUGUUCAUGAAGGGAUGUGUCAUAAGUUCAUUUGCUGACAGUCUGUCAUUUGGGUCUUUCUGCACACUGAAAAAGAUGCAGAAUCCAAAUGGGAAUUAGUAACCUCAUAAGUCAUAAUAUAGUCUAGGCCAAAAGAAAAUUACCAAUUCAAUCUAAAAGAAAACAAACAAAGAAAUGACAUGCAAAAACCUUAUUAUAUCAAAUAUUCUAAAUAGAGAUUAAAUAUUUUCUAUCUAAUUGCUUGAUACUCAUAAUAAUCAAUCAACAUGAAAAGCAUGCACAGGCUAUAUGCAAAUUAUAUCCUAGACGAUGGACUCAUCAAAUAUCAUAUUGAAAGCCUGAAAUCAGUCUUAUAACUAGAGACAGCAAAACUAAUAUAGAACAUAACUUAGGAAGCACCAAAUAAUUAAUCUUUACCAUGAAGAUAUGAAUGAGCAAAACUCUGGGGAAAAUUGAUCAGAAGGUGCGCAAGGUUCAGGUUGCUCAACAAUAGCUUCCAUAAGUUCAAAGAUGUUAGCCCAGACUUCAUCCUGUUCUGGAGGGGAAUAUGGGAAUUGACCAGUUGCACACUCCAGCAAUACUAUACCCAUGCUCCAAAUGUCACUUUUGUAGUUAUGUGAUCCUUCACUAAUUUCACUGCUGAUUCUCUCAGGCUACAUAGCACAAUCACACACGAACAAGUUUUAAAUACAAGCAGAAUAAUGGGUAACCUCUGCACUUUGCAGCCAGAGGAAAGAGGAAAAAUUCUUGUGCAUUACCAUAUAUACAAUUAAGGAAAAUUAUACAAUUAAAUACUCACAGACAUAUAGUGGUAUGUACCAACAUAAGUAUUUGCCUGUCCAGAGGUGCUUGCCAUUAUUGCACUCACACCAAAGUCAGCAAUCUUGACUUCUCCUUUAUGAUUUAUUAAUAUAUUAGAAGGUUUUAAGUCCCUAUGAAUAAUAUGUUUUUCAUGAUGAAGAUACAAUAAACCCUGGAGCACCUGCUUACAGAUGGCAGCAAGAUAUGGUUCUGUAAUUUUUUUACUUUUUUUCAGAAGCUCUACCAAAGAUCCACCAUCCAUAUACUCUAAGACAAUUGAAAUGUCACCAUUGUUAAAGAAUGACUCGUAAAACUUGACCACAUAUGGACAUUGUGAGGUUAGAUUAAUUCUUAAUUCUCUGGCAAUUGCUUUCCUUGCCUUCUCCUCAAUCUUCAGCUGUAUAGCCUAAAUCAAACAAGAAUCACAAAAUUCAUGAUAGAAAGUGUCAACUACUUAGUUGGAAAAUAGAGUAAAUGGAGAGCAGGAUUUUAGCUUUCACAAGACGUUGCAGAAGCUUAGCAUUAACAUGAUACAGCAAAUUAUCCAGCUGAGUCCAAAGGAACGGACAAGAGGAAUCUCUUUGGGUGGUAUAUUCUAGAAGGAUCAAGAUGUCCAGCUCAUCCCUUUUCCAUUGGAGAAGAAUUCAGGGAACAUGUGAAGCAGUAGCCACAAGGUGUCAUAUAUUAGAAGAAGAGAGUGUGAGGGAGGGAUAUGACUAGUAUUUUGUAAUUUGGUUCCAGCUAUUAGACAGCUUGGGGGCAGUAUUUUAGCUGCUGGGGUGAGAGAAACUUAUAUUUCCUUCCACCUGUAUUACUCUUGCUGAUAAUUUGCAUUGCUGCUGCAAUCUUCCAGUUUCUCUGUUUAUUUCCUUCUCUGUUCUGCUCUUAAAUUGCUUACUCUUAUCAUAACAUAACAAAAAGAGACAAGUUGGAGAGGAGAGACUCAAAUUUCAUUCUAAAAACAGAGGAUAUACAAACACAAACAUAGAGAUUUUUUUUCCCUUCUUUUCCUCUUCAUUUUCUAAACUCUCUCCAACUCUCAGCUCUCUCUCUCUAUUCCAGCAAUAGUCUCUUCCCUUUUAUAGAGAAAGAUGGCUUCCCUUAGACAACAAAAGCUCACAUUUACACCAUACUUGAGUAUAGCCAAGUAGUUUUGCUUGUACACAUGGUUUUUCACCUACUAGCAAAGAUUACAAUCACUACAUAUCAAGUGAAAAUCUCAACAACUUCAAACUACUCAACUUAAAGGCUCAAACACAUAGAAAAGUCCAAUAAUAGUUUAUAUCAUGCCCUCUCACAUGCCUAGAGCUAGGAUAAGAAAUCUAUAUUCGAACUCUGACCUCUUAGUCAGAUAAGCUCUCAUAGCAUAUAAGAGAUCACUCAACUUAAAAAUUCAAGCUAUUCUCAAUGAGGUCCAAGAAUAAUUUAUAUCUCCAACAGAAAGGAACAGCAAUGUAAAUAGCAAAGCAUGCAUAUUUUCAUGGAAUAGAGAAGCAUAAAGCUGAGAAUGGUAAGAACUAAGAAAAAGAAAGAUUAGUCCUGAAUGGAUCAUACCUUUAAUGCAAAAAACUGUUCAGUCCACUUAUGACGCACCAGUUGCACAAUUCCACUACUUCCCUUGCCAAUGACCUUAACGGUUUCUAAGUCAGCCAAAGCCAACUGGUGGUCUGAUGGCUUUAUGGGGGGUGCAGCUUGAGUUUCGUUUUGAGAGACAAUUCGAAUUCCAUCGCGAUUCACGCGCAGAUCACCAUCGACAAACGUACCGCUUU